AGCCGUUUAGGAGUUGUGUGACCUUGGGCAAGUUUUCUCUCCCAAGUUACUGUAGUCAGGUAGUGUAUGGUGACCUCGGUUCCAGCUGGCUAGAAUUCCAAUGUGCCUUGAUCAGCAGUUCGCCCUUUCCUGACUCCAUCUAUAUAAUGGAAUAAUAGCAACCAUUGUUAAGUAAAGAGCCAGUCUCUGGAGGUAAACACUGUUAUCUCUGGGUUACAGGCUGGGAAACUGGUGGCCCAGAUGGCUCCCCGCCCUGUAACGAGGAAUUAAACGGAGGACCUUG
Molecule: long non-coding RNA, 283 nt
Filed under: Mus musculus (house mouse)
Lineage: Eukaryota; Metazoa; Chordata; Mammalia; Rodentia; Muridae
Description: long non-coding RNA chr7:83884910-83885193
Source: RNAcentral